GAUGAACGCUAGCGGGAGGCCUAACACAUGCAAGCUGAGCGGUAUUUGUCUUUCGGGACAGAGAGAGCGGCGUACGGUGCGUAACACGUGUGCAACCUGCCUUUAUCAGGAGGAUAGCCUUUCGAAAGGAAGAUUAAUACUCCAUAAUAUAUUAAUUGGCAUCAAUUGAUAUUGAAAACUCCGGUGGAUAAAGAUGGGCACGCGCAAGAUUAGAUAGUUGGUGAGGUAACGGCUCACCAAGUCGAUGAUCUUUAGGGGGCCUGAGAGGGUGAUCCCCCACACUGGUACUGAGACACGGGCCAGACUCCUACGGGAGGCAGCAGUGAGGAAUAUUGGACAAUGGGUUAGCGCCUGAUCCAGCCAUCCCGCGUGAAGGAUUAAGGACCUAUGGUUUGUAAACUCUUUGUACAGGGAUAAACCUACCCUCGUGAGGGUAGCUGAAGGUACUGUACGAAUAAGCACCGGCUAACUCCGUGCCAGCAGCCGCGGU
RNAcentral lists this ribosomal RNA (490 nucleotides) under uncultured bacterium. RNAcentral describes it as "bacterial SSU rRNA". It matches the Rfam family "Bacterial small subunit ribosomal RNA", at positions 28 to 521 of the family's 1533-position model. The record is from RNAcentral.